GGGGUAGGAAAUAAAACGAUGAAUGCUUAAAAAGCCACAAUGUAGCAUUUUUCUGUGAAUGUAAUUCAGAUAUGUGUACUAUAGGCAAGUAAUUGGGUAGCGGUUGUACCAUCUUGAAAUGUAAGUUGAGCACCUCGGUUUUUAUACUGAAUUGAUACUUGCUUAAGGAAACUGUUGAUGCUAAUCAUACAGAAGAUUUAAAAAAUGUGGUAAAGAGUAAAGACCUCAAUAAUGGUUUUAAUUGGGGGGCAAUAAUUUUAGAGCCCUGUGCUAGAUUUACAUUACCUCAUAAAACAUAUGCAAUGAUGGAUAUGAAGAGGUUGGGAGAUGGUUGAUUGAUAUGAUUUUGUUUGUAUUAUAGAAACGUAGUAAUUGAAGUUGAAUGUUGGGGAGAGCUUUUGCAUUGGUUAGGGUUUAGGUAGACAGGCACAUGAAGGAUUUUUGUGUUCUUUAUUGUCAUUAUUCUGAUACAGUGUGUGGUUUUUCACAAUGAAAGAUGUUGGUGUUCCCAGGGGCUUGCAAAAUUGAAAGAAGAAGAGGGGGAAAAGGAAACAGGAUUUAAUUAAGAAAGAGAGAAUUGUCUUUUAGGUUCUUUGGUGGUCGUGCAUUGAUGCUUAAAGACAUAAUAAAUAAGCUUAUGUUCCCAUCCUAAUUUUUUAUGUACCGCAGAUACAAUGUUGCUGUAAAAUGUGCUACCAUAACUCCCGAUGAGACCAGAGUUAAAGAAUUUAGCCUGAAGUCUAUGUGGAGGAGUCCAAAUGGCACAAUUAGAAACAUCUUAAAUGGCACUGUUUUUCGUGAACCUAUUCUCUGCCAGAACAUUCCAAGAAUUGUUCCUGGUUGGAAGAAACCCAUAUGCAUUGGUAGACAUGCCUUUGGUGAUCAAUAUCGUGCCACAGAUACAAUCAUUAGAGGACCAGGAAAGCUUAAAAUGGUUUUUGUCCCAGAGGGUGGUGACACCCCCAUGGAGCUUGAUGUUUAUGAUUUUAAGGGCCCAGGUGUAGCACUUGCUAUGUAUAAUGUUGAUCAGUCCAUUCAAGCUUUUGCCGAGUCAUCAAUGUCAUUGGCAUUUGCAAAAAAGUGGCCUCUUUACUUGAGCACCAAAAACACAAUUCUGAAGAAAUAUGAUGGCAGGUUUAAGGACAUAUUCCAGGAGGUAUAUGAAGAGAAGUGGAAGCAGAAGUUUGAAGAACAUUCGAUAUGGUAUGAGCAUCGGCUAAUUGACGAUAUGGUUGCUUAUGCGGUAAAAAGUGAAGGUGGUUAUGUGUGGGCUUGCAAAAAUUAUGAUGGAGAUGUCCAAAGUGAUUUACUUGCUCAAGGUGAUGUAAAUUGGUUGUUCUAACUCUCUUUGGUCAUAUAUAUCUCUAGGCUUUUAAUAUUGGUUGAUCAUUGAUGUGAUUAGGCCUCUCUGUAUGGUGGGUGGUAUUUACCUUGUUGGGAUGCCUUGGGAGGGAUCUCCCUUCUUUCUUUUUUUUUUUCUUCCUUCUAAAUUUCCAAUAGAUAUUCAGAUUUAAUUAUUUUGAAUUGAGAUUCUUAGGAAAUUGUGCAUAUGCAUGUGUUCACCUAUAUUAUAUGUAAGAAAAUAGUGACUCUGGAAAAAUACAUGGGGAAGCUGACAUGAAUUGAGGACACCACGGUUAAUAGAAAAUGGACUCUAAUUGCAGAUUUGUUAUUCAAUAAUUUUUUAAUGUCCUUUCUGUGUACUGACUUGAAGAGGCAUAGUAAGUGCCAAAAUGAAUGGGUAAUUGGCACUUCUAUUUGUUUAUCAAUAUGAAUGACCUUAAACAUUCACUUAUUAUGUAUUUUUAGUAUACCUGCAUAAACCUGGUUUGUCUUGUGCAGGAUUUGGUUCGUUGGGCCUCAUGACCUCUGUGUUGUUAUCAUCUGAUGGAAAGACACUUGAGGCUGAGGCUGCUCAUGGGACUGUUACUCGGCAUUUCCGGUUAUAUCAGAAAGGACAAGAAACCAGCACAAAUAGUAUUGCUUCAAUAUUUGCAUGGACACGAGGGCUAGAACAUAGGGCCAAACUGGAUAAGAAUGAAAGGUUGCUUGAUUUUGUGCGCAAGUUGGAGGCUUCAUGCAUUGAGACUGUAGAAGCAGGAAAAAUGACGAAGGAUCUAGCUAUUUUGAUUCAUGGCCCUAAGGUGUCGAGGGAGUUUUAUUUGAACACGGAAGAAUUUAUUGUUGCUGUUGCACAGAAUCUCGAGGCAAAGCUUCGGGAACCUGCAGUUGUUUAACCACACAUUU
Molecule: unclassified non-coding RNA, 2247 nt
Filed under: Hevea brasiliensis (rubber tree)
Lineage: Eukaryota; Viridiplantae; Streptophyta; Magnoliopsida; Malpighiales; Euphorbiaceae
Source: RNAcentral